GGGGUCGGAGCCGCCUCGCCUUCGGCUGUCUGGUCCGAGACGGCUUCCUCCGUGGCAGUACGAUCUCUCGACGAUGGGUCGGCCACCUCUCCCGCGGCUUGGCCCUCCGACUCUGGGGGGACGACGCUGCUGAGAUCGAGCUCAGGAUAUAGGCUCUGGAUCGCUUCCCGGGCGUCCUCAUACCCCACUCGGUACGAGAGGAAAUCGCUCUCCAAGAGUUCCUCCUGAUAUUCGUCGGAGCCAUGAAAGUCCUCCACGGCCCGACCUAUGGCCUCUUUCGCCGACUCUGUCUCCGCCCUCGCUAUGUCUGC
Molecule: long non-coding RNA, 311 nt
Filed under: Elaeis guineensis (African oil palm)
Lineage: Eukaryota; Viridiplantae; Streptophyta; Magnoliopsida; Arecales; Arecaceae
Description: long non-coding RNA (EGUI_LNC011740)
Source: RNAcentral